Long non-coding RNA from Oncorhynchus tshawytscha (Chinook salmon), 1684 nucleotides. The record is from Ensembl. Lineage: Eukaryota; Metazoa; Chordata; Actinopteri; Salmoniformes; Salmonidae.
AGGCCAUCUAUCCCUUUUAAUAUUUAGCUCCAUCAAUGAUAAUAUACACUUUUGCGCAGAUGGCAUAAUCGUUAUAUUGAUAUGUUUUCACAUAAAUUGAUACAUUUAUGGCUCGGUGACAUUUUUGGUGGUUGUCGAAAUUAACCAUUCAUAGGUUGGAUGAGCUAGUGGGUUGGAUUCAGCUGUAAGGUCAAUAUACUCCCAACAAACAAACGCGCCAUAUGGUUGCUUGGGAUGACAAUAGAAAUAGCAAUUGAAAAAUAUUUUUAAAAUGAAGGACUGUGACAACAAUUAUGUUUGUUGGCAUAAGGGGGUGGGAAGCCCUACAAGAAAAAGUAGGACUGCAGGGUUGACGAACGGCUGUGUGGACAGUUCAACGUGCAAUAGCCCGAGAAGGAACUACAGUGUUAUGCGCAGAGCGGCAUGCAUCGUCUCCAAAUACCUCUGACCGAUGUUACAUUCCGUGAACAGAACCAGGGGCUGGAUGCGUGAGCUUUUGAAGACAUGGGUUUUUGAUAUUAGCCCGACUGCUUAUAAUGAUAUCGUGCACUAUGACCUGUACACUAACCCUAGCGUUUUUCUUCCGGACAAACAUGGUUGAGGACUCAUAUGGAUAAGGAUACAUAUGAACAAAAUCUGUGUUCAAGUAGAAGUGCAUCUCCGUCAACAUGCGGAUCCGUCUCUUCUGCAGAAGAUGGCAUUAACAGGCGGUAAAAUUUCAUCUGGUGGUGUCAAAUUGAGGUCAGUUUAGGGUUAAAGCUCUCGGUGUCCGUGUGGGACAUGGCCAGCUGCGUUUGGAUUCAUUAGGGGACAGCGGAUCCAUUUCAAGGAAAACACUACUGAGACAAUCACGAGGCUAAAGAUCCACUCGGUGUCACAUCCUAAAAGUGCACCCACUGUAAAAGAAGUAACCCCCAAACUCCCAUUUCAAAACAGACACCAAUAUCUCCACUUUGCCAUGGCUUCCUCUAAAGUAGCCUGGUAGCCUAUAUGUUGCUAACUAUGGAGAAAUGUUUUGUUGAUUUAAUUCCUUCAAAAAGGUCACUGAUACGAAUCGGGGUUUAAAUCCUCUUAGUGACCUUAAAUACUUCUUUAGAAACAAUCGCUGCUUAACCACAGGAACAAAUAACAUCGGCCUAAUCUUGUUUGUUACUUUGUUCUGAGUUGGCCCGCCUUAGAGUAUUUGAGAUUAUGCAAAUAGGAAAAGCUAAUGUUGGCUAUAGAAAGCCCACAGAUAAGAGUAGAUCAUAGACUUUUCUGAAGGGGACAGAAAACCAACACUUUCAGUAACCUAAAGGUCAAUACAAAGAUAAUUCUGAAUUGCGUUCAGGUAUAUUUAAUUUAUGGUUAUUUUCUGAAGUUUUAUAGUAGGCUUUUGUUCAAUUGAUGUUCAGACAAUAUCAGUACUCGAAUGUAUAUGUUAAAAUCUAGUGAUUAACUAACUAUUCAUUUAUAUAGGUUUGUUUAUCUCAGUGUUUACAUAAUCUACAGUGAAGUUUUUUUUGUUUAUACGUAGCCCUGUCAAUGUUUUCCUCAUGCAACACAUACGGCAUUACCUCACCAGGCUGAACUCUUUCUGACCCCACGUGAAAUGUGACUAGGGUCCCAGAAAGUGGAAUGAGCAACUCAAAUACUUGUCAAAGUUUCGCGACUAACUGUAAAUUCUUCAGUUCCUAAACCGUAU